RNAcentral lists this transfer-messenger RNA (177 nucleotides) under Clostridia bacterium. Its description in RNAcentral is "partial transfer-messenger RNA". It matches the Rfam family "transfer-messenger RNA", at positions 1 to 179 of the family's 374-position model. From Rfam's summary of the family: Bacterial tmRNA, also known as 10Sa RNA or SsrA, is named for its dual tRNA and mRNA-like properties. Its role is to liberate the mRNA from a stalled ribosome. The record is from RNAcentral. Lineage: Bacteria; Bacillati; Bacillota; Clostridia.
GGGCCCGUAAAGGUUUCGACGGGGAUUUUGACACAUGAUAAGCGUGGCGGGCUGAGUAAUCCCGUAUAAUGCUCAACUUAAAAUUAAACGCAGACGAUAAAAAGUACGCGCUGGCAGCGUAAGCUGCUGAUGCCGCAUAAGCGGCCCGUCACAUACAGAAGGACCACGGUCUGUAUC